RNAcentral lists this ribosomal RNA (253 nucleotides) under uncultured bacterium. RNAcentral describes it as "partial 16S ribosomal RNA". It matches the Rfam family "Bacterial small subunit ribosomal RNA", at positions 524 to 776 of the family's 1533-position model. The record is from RNAcentral.
UACAGAGGUCUCGAGCGUUGUUCGGAUUCAUUGGGCGUAAAGGGUGCGUAGGCGGACUAGUAAGUCAGUGGUGAAAGCCCAUCGCUUAACGGUGGAACUGCCAUUGAUACUGCUAGUCUUGAGUAUGGUUGAGGUGGGCGGAAUGUGUCAUGUAGCGGUGAAAUGCUUAGAUAUGACCCAGAACACCAAUUGCGAAGGCAGCUCGCUAAGCCAUAACUGACGCUGAUGCACGAAAGCGUGGGGAGUAAACAGG